GAUGAACGCUGGCGGCGUGCCUAAUACAUGCAAGUCGAGCGAACAGACGAGGAGCUUGCUCCUCUGACGUUAGCGGCGGACGGGUGAGUAACACGUGGAUAACCUACCUAUAAGACUGGGAUAACUUCGGGAAACCGGAGCUAAUACCGGAUAAUAUAUUGAACCGCAUGGUUCAAUAGUGAAAGACGGUUUUGCUGUCACUUAUAGAUGGAUCCGCGCCGCAUUAGCUAGUUGGUAAGGUAACGGCUUACCAAGGCAACGAUGCGUAGCCGACCUGAGAGGGUGAUCGGCCACACUGGAACUGAGACAUGGUCCAGACUCCUACGGGAGGCAGCAGUAGGGAAUCUUCCGCAAUGGGCGAAAGCUUGACGGAGCAACGCCGCGUGAGUGAUGAAGGUCUUCGGAUCGUAAAACUCUGUUAUUAGGGAAGAACAAAUGUGUAAGUAACUAUGCACGUCUUGACGGUACCUAAUCAGAAAGCCACGGCUAACUACGUG
This 497-nucleotide ribosomal RNA is filed under the name uncultured bacterium. Its description in RNAcentral is "partial 16S ribosomal RNA". It matches the Rfam family "Bacterial small subunit ribosomal RNA", at positions 28 to 507 of the family's 1533-position model. The record is from RNAcentral.